Molecule: transfer RNA, 72 nt
Filed under: Camelus bactrianus (Bactrian camel)
Lineage: Eukaryota; Metazoa; Chordata; Mammalia; Artiodactyla; Camelidae
Also listed under: 2 other names
Rfam family: tRNA
About the family: Transfer RNA (tRNA) molecules are approximately 80 nucleotides in length. Their secondary structure includes four short double-helical elements and three loops (D, anti-codon, and T loops).
Source: Rfam by way of RNAcentral
GGGGCUAUAGCUCAGUGGUAGAGUGCGUGCUUAGCAUGCACAAUGUCCUGGGUUCAGCCCCCAGUGGCUCCA